RNAcentral lists this ribosomal RNA (550 nucleotides) under [Candida] sp. UFMG-TO58.3. Its description in RNAcentral is "eukaryotic LSU rRNA". It matches the Rfam family "Eukaryotic large subunit ribosomal RNA", at positions 49 to 652 of the family's 3401-position model. Lineage: Eukaryota; Fungi; Ascomycota; Saccharomycetes; Saccharomycetales. The record is from RNAcentral.
AGCGGAGGAAAAGAAACCAACAGGGAUUGCCUUAGUAACGGCGAGUGAAGCGGCAAUAGCUCAAAUUUGAAAUCUGGCGCUUUCAGCGUCCGAGUUGUAAUUUGUAGAAGGUAUCUUUGGUGUUGGCCCUUGUCUAUGUUUCUUGGAACAGGACGUCACAGAGGGUGAGAAUCCCGUGCGAUGGGGUGUCCAAUGCUAUGUAAAGUUCCUUCGACGAGUCGAGUUGUUUGGGAAUGCAGCUCUAAGUGGGUGGUAAAUUCCAUCUAAAGCUAAAUAUUGGCGAGAGACCGAUAGCGAACAAGUACAGUGAUGGAAAGAUGAAAAGAACUUUGAAAAGAGAGUGAAAAAGUACGUGAAAUUGUUGAAAGGGAAGGGCUUGAGAUCAGACUUGGCUUCGGCCGGGCCAGCAUCGGUUUGGAUGGUAGGAUAAUGACAUUGGAAUGUACCUUGCCUUCGGGGAAGUAUUAUAGCCCUUGUUGAUACUGCCUGUCUAGACCGAGGACUGCGUCUUUUGACUAGGAUGCUGGCAUAAUGAUCUUAAGCCGCCCGU